AACGAACGCUGGCGGCAUGCCUAACACAUGCAAGUCGAACGAGAACUUCGGGUCUAGUGGCGCACGGGUGCGUAACGCGUGGGAACCUGCCCUUAGGUUGGGAAUAACUCCCCGAAAGGGGUGCUAAUACCGGAUAAUGUCUUCGGACCAAAGAUUUAUCGCCUUUGGAUGGGCCCGCGUUGGAUUAGCUAGUUGGUAGGGUAAAAGCCUACCAAGGCGACGAUCCAUAGCUGGUCUGAGAGGAUGAUCAGCCACACUGGGACUGAGACACGGCCCAGACUCCUACGGGAGGCAGCAGUGGGGAAUAUUGGACAAUGGGCGAAAGCCUGAUCCAGCAAUGCCGCGUGAGUGAUGAAGGCCUUAGGGUUGUAAAGCUCUUUUACCCGGGAUGAUAAUGACAGUACCGGGAGAAUAAGCUCCGGCUAACUCCGUG
This 433-nucleotide ribosomal RNA is filed under the name uncultured bacterium. RNAcentral describes it as "partial 16S ribosomal RNA". It matches the Rfam family "Bacterial small subunit ribosomal RNA", at positions 29 to 507 of the family's 1533-position model. The record is from RNAcentral.